RNAcentral lists this ribosomal RNA (423 nucleotides) under uncultured bacterium. RNAcentral's name for it is "partial 16S ribosomal RNA". It matches the Rfam family "Bacterial small subunit ribosomal RNA", at positions 359 to 773 of the family's 1533-position model. The record is from RNAcentral.
GACUCUUGGCCACUGGGGGGAACACUGAUCCAGCCAUGCCGAGAGUGUCAAGAAGGCCUUUUGGUUGUAAAGCACUGUAAGCGUGGAGGAGGAGCUCUUGGUUAAUAACCAAGAUGCUUGGACGUUACUCGCCGAAUAAGCCCCGGAUAACUCUGUGCCAGAAGCCGCGGUAAUACAGAGGGUGCAAGCGUUAAUCGGAUUUACUGGGCGUAAAGCGCGCGUAGGUGGCCAAUUAAGUCAAAUGUGAAAUCCCCGAGCUUAACUUGGGAAUUGCAUUCGAUACUGGUUGGCUAGAGUAUGGGAGAGGAUGGUAGAAUUCCAGGUGUAGCGGUGAAAUGCGUAGAGAUCUGGAGGAAUACCGAUGGCGAAGGCAGCCAUCUGGCCUAAUACUGACACUGAGGUGCGAAAGCAUGGGGAGCAAAC